GCCAGUGUGGCUUAGCGGUUUGAGUAUUGGACUAUGACUCUGGAGACUAGGAUUCAAUUCCCUGUUCGUUCC
Non-coding RNA from Phrynosoma platyrhinos (Desert horned lizard), 72 nucleotides. The record is from the annotation of a GenBank genome assembly. Lineage: Eukaryota; Metazoa; Chordata; Lepidosauria; Squamata; Phrynosomatidae.